This 460-nucleotide ribosomal RNA is filed under the name uncultured bacterium. RNAcentral describes it as "partial 16S ribosomal RNA". It matches the Rfam family "Bacterial small subunit ribosomal RNA", at positions 338 to 795 of the family's 1533-position model. The record is from RNAcentral.
CCUACGGGGUGCAGCAGUGAGGAAUAUUGGUCAAUGGACGAGAGUCUGAACCAGCCAAGUAGCGUGAAGGAUGACUGCCCUAUGGGUUGUAAACUUCUUUUAUAUGGGAAUAAAACGUUCCACGUGUGGGAUUUUGUAUGUACCAUAUGAAUAAGGAUCGGCUAACUCCGUGCCAGCAGCCGCGGUAAUACGGAGGAUCCGAGCGUUAUCCGGAUUUAUUGGGUUUAAAGGGUGCGUAGGUGGAUUGUUAAGUCAGUGGUGAAAGUUUGCGGCUCAACCGUAAAAUUGCAGUUGAAACUGGCAGUCUUGAGUACAGGAGAGGUGGGCGGAAUUCGUGGUGUAGCGGUGAAAUGCUUAGAUAUCACGAAGAACUCCGAUUGCGAAGGCAGUUCACUGGACUGCAACUGACACUGAGGCUCGAAAGUGUGGGUAUCAAACAGGAUUAGAUACCCCAGUAGUC